UCCUAAGUUGAAUACAUAGACUUAGAGAAGCGAACCCGGAGAACUGAACCAUCUAAGUACCCGGAGGAAAAGAAAUCAACCGAGAUUCCGCAAGUAGUGGCGAGCGAACGCGGAGGAGCCUGUACGUAAUAACUGUCGAGAUAGAAGAACAAGCUGGGAAGCUUGACCAUAGUGGGUGAUAGUCCCGUAUUCGAAAUCUCAACGGUGGUACUAAGCGUACGAAAAGUAGGGCGGGACACGUGAAAUCCUGUCUGAAUAUGGGGGGACCAUCCUCCAAGGCUAAAUACUCAUCAUCGACCGAUAGUGAACCAGUACCGUGAGGGAAAGGCGAAAAGAACCCCGGGAGGGGAGUGAAAUAGAACCUGAAACCUGAUGCAUACAAACAGUGGGAGCACCCAUGUGGUGUGACUGCGUACCUUUUGUAUAAUGGGUCAACGACUUACAUUCAGUAGCGAGCUUAACCGAAUAGGGGAGGCGUAGGGAAACCGAGUCUUAAUAGGGCGAACAGUUGCUGGGUGUAGACCCGAAACCGAGUGAUCUAUCCAUGGCCAGGUUGAAGGUGCCGUAACAGGUACUGGAGGACCGAACCCACGCAUGUUGCAAAAUGCGGGGAUGAGCUGUGGAUAGGGGUGAAAGGCUAAACAAACUCGGAGAUAGCUGGUUCUCCCCGAAAACUAUUUAGGUAGUGCCUCGAGCAAGACACUGAUGGGGGUAAAGCACUGUUAUGGCUAGGGGGUUAUUGCAACUUACCAACCCAUGGCAAACUAAGAAUACCAUCAAGUGGUUCCUCGGGAGACAGACAGCGGGUGCUAACGUCCGUUGUCAAGAGGGAAACAACCCAGACCGCCAGCUAAGGUCCCAAAUGAUAGAUUAAGUGGUAAACGAAGUGGGAAGGCCCAGACAGCCAGGAUGUUGGCUUAGAAGCAGCCAUCAUUUAAAGAAAGCGUAAUAGCUCACUGGUCGAGUCGUCCUGCGCGGAAGAUGUAACGGGGCUCAAAUCUAUAACCGAAGCUGCGGAUGCCAGUUUACUGGCAUGGUAGGGGAGCGUUCUGUAGGCCGAUGAAGGUGCAUUGUAAAGUGUGCUGGAGGUAUCAGAAGUGCGAAUGUUGACAUGAGUAGCGAUAAAGCGGGUGAAAAGCCCGCUCGCCGAAAGCCCAAGGUUUCCUACGCAACGUUCAUCGGCGUAGGGUGAGUCGGCCCCUAAGGCGAGGCAGAAAUGCGUAGUCGAUGGGAAACAGGUUAAUAUUCCUGUACUUGAUUCAAAUGCGAUGUGGGGACGGAGAAGGUUAGGUUAGCAAGCUGUUGGAAUAGCUUGUUUAAGCCGGUAGGUGGAAGACUUAGGCAAAUCCGGGUCUUCUUAACACCGAGAAGUGACGACGAGUGUCUACGGACAUGAAGUAACCGAUACCACGCUUCCAGGAAAAGCCACUAAGCUUCAGUUUGAAUCGAACCGUACCGCAAACCGACACAGGUGGGCAGGAUGAGAAUUCUAAGGCGCUUGAGAGAACUCGGGAGAAGGAACUCGGCAAAUUGAUACCGUAACUUCGGGAGAAGGUAUGCCCUCUAAGGUUAAGGACUUGCUCCGUAAGCCUCGGAGGGUCGCAGAGAAUAGGUGGCUGCGACUGUUUAUUAAAAACACAGCACUCUGCUAACACGAAAGUGGACGUAUAGGGUGUGACGCCUGCCCGGUGCUGGAAGGUUAAUUGAAGAUGUGAGAGCAUCGGAUCGAAGCCCCAGUAAACGGCGGCCGUAACUAUAACGGUCCUAAGGUAGCGAAAUUCCUUGUCGGGUAAGUUCCGACCCGCACGAAUGGCGUAACGAUGGCCACACUGUCUCCUCCCGAGACUCAGCGAAGUUGAAGUGGUUGUGAAGAUGCAAUCUACCCGCUGCUAGACGGAAAGACCCCGUGAACCUUUACUGUAGCUUUGCAUUGGACUUUGAAGUCACUUGUGUAGGAUAGGUGGGAGGCUUUGAAGCAGAGACGCCAGUCUCUGUGGAGCCGUCCUUGAAAUACCACCCUGGUGUCUUUGAGGUUCUAACCCAGACCCGUAAUCCGGGUCGGGGACCGUGCAUGGUAGGC
Molecule: ribosomal RNA, 2080 nt
Filed under: Neisseria mucosa
Lineage: Bacteria; Pseudomonadati; Pseudomonadota; Betaproteobacteria; Neisseriales; Neisseriaceae
Description: bacterial LSU rRNA
Rfam family: Bacterial large subunit ribosomal RNA
Source: RNAcentral